RNAcentral lists this ribosomal RNA (778 nucleotides) under uncultured bacterium. Its description in RNAcentral is "bacterial SSU rRNA". It matches the Rfam family "Bacterial small subunit ribosomal RNA", at positions 28 to 806 of the family's 1533-position model. The record is from RNAcentral.
GAUGAACGCUGGCGGCGUGCUUAACACAUGCAAGUCGAACGAAGCGCUUGAAUGGAAUUCUUCGGAAGGAAGCUCAAGUGACUGAGUGGCGGACGGGUGAGUAACGCGUGGGUAACCUGCCUCAUACAGGGGGAUAACAGUUAGAAAUGACUGCUAAUACCGCAUAAGCACACGUGAUCGCAUGAUCGAGUGUGAAAAACUCCGGUGGUACGAGAUGGACCCGCGUCUGAUUAGCUAGUUGGUGGGGUAAUGGCCCACCAAGGCGACGAUCAGUAGCCGGCCUGAGAGGGUGAACGGCCACAUUGGGACUGAGACACGGCCCAAACUCCUACGGGAGGCAGCAGUGGGGAAUAUUGCAUAAUGGGGGAAACCCUGAUGCAGCGACGCCGCGUGAAGGAUGAAGUAUUUCGGUAUGUAAACUUCUAUCAGCAGGGAAGAAAAUGACGGUACCUGACUAAGAAGCCCCGGCUAACUACGUGCCAGCAGCCGCGGUAAUACGUAGGGGGCAAGCGUUAUCCGGAUUUACUGGGUGUAAAGGGAGCGUAGACGGCAGUGCAAGUCUGAAGUGAAAGCCCGGGGCUCAACCCCGGGACUGCUUUGGAAACUGUGCAGCUAGAGUGUCGGAGAGGCAAGCGGAAUUCCUAGUGUAGCGGUGAAAUGCGUAGAUAUUAGGAGGAACACCAGUGGCGAAGGCGGCUUGCUGGACGAUGACUGACGUUGAGGCUCGAAAGCGUGGGGAGCAAACAGGAUUAGAUACCCUGGUAGUCCACGCCGUAAA